RNAcentral lists this transfer RNA (76 nucleotides) under Salmonella phage Melville. Its description in RNAcentral is "tRNA-Met". It matches the Rfam family "tRNA". From Rfam's summary of the family: Transfer RNA (tRNA) molecules are approximately 80 nucleotides in length. Their secondary structure includes four short double-helical elements and three loops (D, anti-codon, and T loops). The record is from RNAcentral. Lineage: Duplodnaviria; Heunggongvirae; Uroviricota; Caudoviricetes; Pantevenvirales; Straboviridae.
GGUCCUGUAGCUCAGCGGUAGAGCGGUCCCCUCAUAAGGGAUUGGUCGGCAGUUCGAAUCAUGCCCAGGGCCACCA